GAUGAACGCUGGCGGCGUGCCUAAUACAUGCAAGUCGAGCGAACGGACGAGAAGCUUGCUUCUCUGAUGUUAGUGGCGGAUGGGUGAGUAACACGUGGAUAACCUACCUAUAAGACUGGGAUAACUUCGGGAAACCGGAGCUAAUACCGGAUAAUAUUUUGAACCGCAUGGUUCAACAGUGAAAGACGGUCUUGCUGUCACUUAUAGAUGGAUCAGCGCUGCAUUAGCUAGUUGGUAAGGUAACAGCCUACCAAGGCUACGAUGCAUACCCGACCUGAUAGGGGGAUGGGCCACGACGCGACGGAGACAAGCUCCAGACUCCUGCGGGAGGCAACAGGAGGGAAGCGUCCGCAACGGGGGAAAGUCUGUCGGAGCGACGGCUUGGCGGUGAUAAAGGUCCUGCGAUCGUUAAACCCUUUUAUGAGUGAUAAACAAAUGUUGAAUGAAGUGUGCAAAUUGUGAAGGUACCUAGUCAAAAAGCCACGGCUAACUACGUG
This 497-nucleotide ribosomal RNA is filed under the name uncultured bacterium. RNAcentral's name for it is "partial 16S ribosomal RNA". It matches the Rfam family "Bacterial small subunit ribosomal RNA", at positions 28 to 507 of the family's 1533-position model. The record is from RNAcentral.